CCUACGGGAGGCAGCAGUGGGGAAUAUUGGGCAAUGGAGGAAACUCUGACCCAGCGACGCCGCGUGCGGAAUGAAGGCCUUCGGGUUGUAAACCGCUUUCAGUAGGGAAGAAGCGAAAGUGACGGUACCUACAGAAGAAGCACCGGCUAACUAUGUGCCAGCAGCCGCGGUAAUACAUAGGGUGCAAGCGUUGUCCGGAAUUAUUGGGCGUAAAGAGCUCGUAGGUGGUUCGUCACGUCGGAUGUGAAAAUCUGGGGCUCAACCCCAGACCUGCAUUCGAUACGGGCGAUCUAGAGUGUGGUAGGGGAGACUGGAAUUCCUGGUGUAGCGGUGGAAUGCGCAGAUAUCAGGAGGAACACCAAUGGCGAAGGCAGGUCUCUGGGCCAUUACUGACACUGAGGAGCGAAAGCGUGGGGAGCGAACAGGAUUAGAUACCCUGGUAGUCCACGCCGUAAACGGUGGGCACUAGUUGUGGGAACCUUCCACGGUUUCUGCGACGCAGCUACGCAUAAGUGCCCGCCGUCGGGAGGUACGACGUCGCGAAGAAUUAAAACUAACAAGGAAAGUUAGACGGCGUGAGACGUGCCGAACGGACGACGACGAGGGAGGUAGG
RNAcentral lists this ribosomal RNA (613 nucleotides) under uncultured bacterium. Its description in RNAcentral is "bacterial SSU rRNA". The stretch from base 1 to 521 matches the Rfam family "Bacterial small subunit ribosomal RNA", at positions 338 to 873 of the family's 1533-position model. The record is from RNAcentral.